AAAAAAAAAAGAAAAAAAGAAAUAAAAAAAAAAAGAAAAGAAAGAAUACUGUAAACUAAUGCCUUAUAAGAAUAAAACUUAAUGUGAGCCAUACCUUAUGGAAAUAUAAAUUUAGUGACAGCCAUGGUAACUUACCAACUCAGCCCAUUUUAAUAUAUUAUUGAUACUUAUUAUCAUUAAAAGCUCAUUUACCCCACAGAUGGAAUAGGGGAUCCUAUUUUAUCAAGUUUAUUGCAAGGCAAUGCAUCAUUUGUGAACUUCAUUGAUUUUCUUUCCUACUAAAAAGAUUGCUAUUUAUAAAGAGACUCGUGCAUAACUGAUCCUACUCAAUAUACAUCCUUAAUUCCUUAUUAUGAGAUAACAAUCCCUCUUUUGGUUAUGCAUCUAACUUAGGAUGGUUGUUAUUAAAAAUCAUUCUGCUGUUGCUUUGAAUGCUUCGUCUUUUGUAAGCUGUGAUAUCUAUUAUUUGCAUAUUGUCUUGCAUGAUAGCAUUUUUUACUUGCAUCCUAUUUCUGGUUUGUCUUAGAAUUGUUGAACUAGCUAAUAUUUAUCAAUAUCAGAAAACUGGACAAUGGGAGAAAAUGUUGAAUGUUCAUUCGACAAUUGUAAUUUUUCAAUUUGCAAGUAGCUUUCAUGGAAUUAAGCUAGGAAAUGUGGGUGCCAACUAUUUCAGAUUCAAUUUCAAUCUCUUGAAACCGAGUCUUGUUUUGGGGCUGUCCCUUUAACCUAUCCUGGAGGCUAAAGGAUCAAUGAUAACAUUUUUUCUGCAUCGUUCCUUUCUUUUUCACCCCAUUGUGCGCAAGGAGCUAGCUAGGGAUACAUUCAAUCUUGUAUUAUGACAACUAGAAUCACAUUAAUCUAACUAAUCCACCAUUAAACUCUAAAGAAUGAAGAUGUAGCUUUUUCGUGACAAAGUGAAAACUAAUGAUACUAAAAUUAUAAUGCUAAAGUCUAUGUAAUAAUAGGAAAUAAGAACUUCAGGUUUUUAAGAAAUAAAAUUUCAUAUUUAGUAAGAUAUUUUUCUAAUGAUUUUCUAUUUUCUUGGAAAAGUUUCUGAAAAAUCUAGAAGUUAGUCUACCACAAAAUGCACCCUAAUGUGCACAUUCUAGGUUGAUAAAUUGUUACUUAACAAAAAUCUCCUUUUACUUCUAUAUAAUAUAAUCUUUCCAUAUCCUUUCUCUCUUAAAGGAGUUGGCAAUGGCGGGAGUGAUAAAGAAGUUCUUCAUUGCUUCAAUGUUUAUGUGGAUGGCUCCUAUUAUCAUCCUGUAUGGUUUUAACCAUGACUUGAUCCCUGGUGAGAUUGUCUAAUCUUUUUUUAUUCGGGAUAUUUUUUUUUUUUUCAUGAUAAUUUAUGUAUCAAAUGAAUAUUUUUAAGACAAUUGAUAUAAUCGAUGUAAGUUGUUAAUGCAAGCUACAUCCGGUUCUCGUAUUUGAGCACCAUAUUUAUAGUUUUUAACUUCGGAUUCUCACUAUUUACACAAAAGUGACAUAUGUACUGCUACAAAUAUUUUGGACAAUGAAAAUGUUCGUUUUAUUUGCCUUCUAUAACUAUCAUCUCUGUGGUCUUUAAUGUAAGUAUUCUACUAUCUUGGUUUGGUGAUUAACAAAUGCUUACAGAGGAAAAGAAUCAAUGUUAGAGAAUGUUUUCCUUGUGUGAAAUAUUUCAAGCCCUCAAUUUUGAUAUUUUGGAGCUCAAACGCAUCUUUUCAUUUACUUUAGGUGGGAGAUUUGGUUUCAUGGGUUGGGUUGUGAGAUCCACACUAUAUCUUCUGCAUUUUGAGUUUGUUGUAAAUCUGACUCUAAGGCUAUGAGUUUUUGUAAUUAGGGAGUACAUGCAACUUCAGAAAGAAUUUGGUCCAACAUCUUUUAUGGGUUCAAUUGACAAAUGCUAAACAGAAAUGAUUUGAAGGAAAUUUGUGUGGAAGAUUAAAUACCAAAGUCCUAAUCUCGUGAAUCAUUCUCGUGCUUUUGAUGAGUAUUCAUUGUUGACAUGCUGUAUAUCAUUUACAGUACUCGAGGAAAUUGUUAUCCGUGCAUUUCUGAAACAGGAAAUUCCUGCAAACACAACAUUCAGAAAGGUGUCUAGAUGUGAAUUAUUCCUUCUCUCAUUUGGCAAACAGUUCUUCAUUAUAGGAAAUGUUGUAUAUGCUCUAGUACAUCUUGAUCAACUUCUGUUUUUAAGAAAUGGGAAAGAAGCCAAGUACCUCAAACUCGGUUUGUCAGUUUAGUUACUGUAAUCAAAUUACUUGAACAAGUUUUAUUCAUUUGAUACAGGUGUAAGCCAUUUAUCUCCCCAUUCCUUGACACUGCUGAGUGGGUUUGUUGCUGUUAUAUCAGUCAACAUAGUUAUUGCAUUCUACAUUUAUAUGGCAAUGAAGGAACCUUCAGAUAAGCAUGAGCCAGAUGCAAAAUUUGUUUCUGAGGCCAAAGCUAGUGUUAGUCAGCUUACAGGUAAAGCAGAGGAUUCUUCACAAUCUCUGAAGAAAGAAGAGUAGGCUGGGCAAGCCACAAUUUCAGCACCUGGGAUGAACAGACCUCAUUGAAGUUGAGGCUGGGCUUUGAUGACAGUGCAAGAUUUUUCUUGGGACGUGACUUCCCACUGUUUAUUGUACGUUAUAUUUUGGCCUGUUCACUGUUUUUUUUAUCCCAUUUCACAUGAUGUAGCAAUUAUUACCUGAAAGAUCAGCAUUUCAAGGAUGAAUUAUUUGUAAUUAUGAGUUCUGCAUGAUGACAUUGUUGUGGCAGCAUGUGUGGUACAUUGCAAUUUUAUCUUAUGGUCAAAUAUAUAUAUAUAUACUCAACAUUUAUCGAA
This 2812-nucleotide unclassified non-coding RNA is filed under the name Hevea brasiliensis (rubber tree). Lineage: Eukaryota; Viridiplantae; Streptophyta; Magnoliopsida; Malpighiales; Euphorbiaceae. The record is from RNAcentral.